RNAcentral lists this ribosomal RNA (254 nucleotides) under uncultured bacterium. RNAcentral describes it as "partial 16S ribosomal RNA". It matches the Rfam family "Bacterial small subunit ribosomal RNA", at positions 524 to 776 of the family's 1533-position model. The record is from RNAcentral.
GACAGAGGGGGCAAGCGUUGCUCGGAAUUACUGGGCGUAAAGAGCGCGUAGGCGGCUCGUUAAGUGUGAAGUGAAAUCUCUAGGGCUCAACCCAGAAACUGCUUUACAUACUGGCGAGCUGGAGUGAUGAAGAGGUUUGUGGAAUUCCUGGUGUAACGGUGAAAUGUGUUGAUAUCAGGAGGAACACCCAUGGCGAAGGCAGCAAACUGGUCAUCAACUGACGCUGAGGCGCGAAAGCGUGGGUAGCAAACAGG